Molecule: ribosomal RNA, 730 nt
Filed under: uncultured bacterium
Lineage: Bacteria
Description: bacterial SSU rRNA
Rfam family: Bacterial small subunit ribosomal RNA
Source: RNAcentral
GCUGGCGGCAGGCCUAACACAUGCAAGUCGAGCGGUAGAGAGAAGCUUGCUUCUCUUGAGAGCGGCAGACGGGUGAGUAAUGCCUAGGAAUCUGCCUGGUAGUGGGGGAUAACGUUCGGAAACGGACGCUAAUACCGCAUACGUCCUACGGGAGAAAGCAGGGGACCUUCGGGCCUUGCGCUAUCAGAUGAGCCUAGGUCGGAUUAGCUAGUUGGUGAGGUAAUGGCUCACCAAGGCGACGAUCCGUAACUGGUCUGAGAGGAUGAUCAGUCACACUGGAACUGAGACACGGUCCAGACUCCUACGGGAGGCAGCAGUGGGGAAUAUUGGACAAUGGGCGAAAGCCUGAUCCAGCCAUGCCGCGUGUGUGAAGAAGGUCUUCGGAUUGUAAAGCACUUUAAGUUGGGAGGAAGGGUUGUAGAUUAAUACUCUGCAAUUUUGACGUUACCGACAGAAUAAGCACCGGCUAACUCUGUGCCAGCAGCCGCGGUAAUACAGAGGGUGCAAGCGUUAAUCGGAAUUACUGGGCGUAAAGCGCGCGUAGGUGGUUUGUUAAGCUGGAUGUGAAAUCCCCGGGCUCAACCUGGGAACUGCAUUCAAAACUGACUGACUAGAGUAUGGUAGAGGGUGGUGGAAUUUCCUGUGUAGCGGUGAAAUGCGUAGAUAUAGGAAGGAACACCAGUGGCGAAGGCGACCACCUGGACUAAUACUGACACUGAGGUGCGAAAGC